CGGGAAGCCAUGCGGCGACGCAGAGCGGAACCGAAAACCUGUCUCAGUUCGGAUUGGAGUCUGCAACCCGACUCCAUGAAGCUGGAUUCGCUAGUAAUCGCGCAUCAGCCACGGCGCGGUGAAUACGUUCCCGGGCCUUGUACACACCGCCCGUCAAGCCAUGGAAGCCGGGAGUGCCUGAAGUGCGUGAGCGCAAGCAGCGCCCUAAGGUAAAACCGGUGACUGGGGCUAAGUCGUAACAAGGUAGC
Molecule: ribosomal RNA, 248 nt
Filed under: uncultured bacterium
Lineage: Bacteria
Description: partial 16S ribosomal RNA
Rfam family: Bacterial small subunit ribosomal RNA
Source: RNAcentral